CGAGGAACAUGACCUUCGGCGGGGGAUAGCAGGCCAACGGCCGGGUAAUACCGCGUACGACCACAUGGGGACAUCCCUGAGUGGUGAAAGCAGCAAUGCGCCGAUGGAGUGCCUCGCGGCCUAUCAGCUAGUUGGUGGGGUAACGCUCACCAAGGCAACGACGGGGUANCUGGUCUGAGAGGAUGGCCAGCCACAUUGGGACUGAGACACCGGCCCAGACCUUCGUACCGGGGAGG
This 236-nucleotide ribosomal RNA is filed under the name uncultured bacterium. RNAcentral's name for it is "partial 16S ribosomal RNA". It matches the Rfam family "Bacterial small subunit ribosomal RNA", at positions 118 to 347 of the family's 1533-position model. The record is from RNAcentral.